CUGGGUCAAUCGUAGUAGCCCAAAGGGUGAACUAUGACCCUUACGAAAGGAGAAAUACUUCCCGUGAUGAAAGUCCAAAACUACCCUUUGAUAUUUUGACACGAACGCCGCCGGAGUACCCGUGCGUGCAUGGCGAGAGAUGCAUCUUACCUCGUUUCAUGUGUCACGAAUUAAGCAGAUUAGACGAUGCCCUACAAGACAUCUGUACGGAGGGUGAAUAAUUUUUAUGAGUAGA
The submitters of this non-coding RNA (235 nucleotides) gave its source as unclassified sequences. The record is from Rfam.